This 442-nucleotide ribosomal RNA is filed under the name uncultured prokaryote. RNAcentral describes it as "bacterial SSU rRNA". It matches the Rfam family "Bacterial small subunit ribosomal RNA", at positions 355 to 796 of the family's 1533-position model. The record is from RNAcentral.
UCGAGAAUCUUCGGCAAUGGGCGAAAGCCUGACCGAGCGAUGCCGCGUGCGGGAUGAAGGCCCUCGGGUUGUAAACCGCUGUCAGUUGGGAGGAAGGGUCCGUGAAGAGCGGAUCUUGACCUAUCUUCAGAGGAAGUCCGGGCUAAGUUCGUGCCAGCAGCCGCGGUAACACGAACCGGACGAACGUUAUUCGGAAUUAUUGGGCUUAAAGGGUGCGUAGGCGGCUUAGUAGGUGGGGUGUGAAAUCCCUCGGCUCAACCGAGGAACUGCGCUCCAAACCACUAGGCUAGAGGGAGACAGAGGUAAGCGGAACUGAUGGUGGAGCGGUGAAAUGCGUUGAUAUCAUCAGGAACACCAGUGGCGAAAGCGGCUUACUGGGUCUCUUCUGACGCUGAGGCACGAAAGCUAGGGUAGCGAACGGGAUUAGAUACCCCCGUAGUCC